RNAcentral lists this transfer RNA (66 nucleotides) under Bolitaena pygmaea. RNAcentral's name for it is "tRNA-Met". Lineage: Eukaryota; Metazoa; Mollusca; Cephalopoda; Octopoda; Bolitaenidae. The record is from RNAcentral.
AAUAAUGUAAGCUAAAAAAGCUGUUGGGUUCAUACCUCAAAAAUAGAUGUAGAAGUCUCUUUAUUA